This 1443-nucleotide long non-coding RNA is filed under the name Homo sapiens (human). RNAcentral describes it as "long non-coding RNA NONHSAT166424.1". The record is from RNAcentral. Lineage: Eukaryota; Metazoa; Chordata; Mammalia; Primates; Hominidae.
GCUUGUUCGUUCCGCGCAGCCGCAGCCAGAACCGGGUGACGCUUAUCCCCGCUGUCUUUCCAGUCCAGGGCCGCUGAGAGUGGGGGUGGCUGGGAGCAGCGCAGCCUCCGGAGGAGGAGGCGGAGGCCGAGGUGAGACCAGGAAUCACCUUCAAGCCUAUGUCGUGAGGCUUUGGCAGAAAUUAAGAAGGAAAUAUCUCCAUUGUUCAUUGGCAUGGAAAAAUGUUCAGUGGGAGGAUUAGAGUUGACUGAACAGACUCCUGCUUUAUUAGGGAAUAUGGCCAUGGCAACUAGUCUCAUGGACAUAGGGGAUUCAUUUGGUCAUCCAGCUUGUCCUUUAGUCAGUAGAUCUAGGAACUCACCAGUGGAAGAUGAUGAUGAUGAUGAUGAUGUUGUGUUUAUUGAAUCUAUACAACCUCCUUCAAUUUCUGCUCCAGCAAUAGCUGAUCAAAGAAACUUCAUAUUUGCAUCAUCAAAAAAUGAAAAGCCUCAAGGAAAUUAUUCUGUAAUUCCUCCUUCUUCAAGAGAUUUGGCAUCUCAGAAAGGAAAUAUAAGUGAGACAAUUGUUAUUGAUGAUGAAGAGGACAUAGAAACAAAUGGAGGAGCAGAGAAAAAGUCUUCCUGUUUUAUCGAAUGGGGACUUCCUGGAACUAAAAACAAAACCAACGAUUUGGAUUUCUCCACUUCCAGUCUUUCAAGAAGUAAGACCAAGACUGGAGUAAGACCUUUUAACCCUGGUAGAAUGAAUGUGGCAGGAGACUUAUUUCAGAAUGGAGAAUUUGCAACUCAUCAUAGUCCUGAUUCUUGGAUCUCCCAGUCAGCUUCAUUUCCCAGUAAUCAGAAACAGCCAGGGGUGGAUUCUUUAUCACCAGUGGCCUUACUUCGUAAGCAGAAUUUCCAGCCUACAGCCCAACAACAACUUACUAAACCAGCUAAAAUCACUUGUGCAAAUUGCAAAAAGCCUUUACAGAAGGGACAGACAGCUUAUCAACGAAAAGGAUCAGCUCACCUCUUUUGCUCUACCACCUGCCUUUCUUCCUUCUCUCAUAAACGUACUCAAAACACACGAAGCAUAAUAUGUAAAAAAGAUGCAUCUACAAAGAAGGCUAAUGUCAUUCUUCCAGUAGAAUCAAGCAAAUCCUUCCAAGAAUUUUAUAGUACAUCUUGUUUGUCUCCCUGUGAAAACAACUGGAAUCUUAAAAAAGGAGUUUUUAAUAAGUCAAGAUGUACAAUUUGUAGUAAAUUAGCAGAGGUCUGGAUUUUUAUACCUAAGUUGUUGUUUAGGCUAACAGUGAUAAUUUUAACUUUUAAGUGCUAUUAUGUACUCUUUCAUCUACAUAAUGCACGUGUUCUGGAUGUAUAACAUGAAGCUGAAAGGAAGAAUAAGGAUAUGUUAGAACUAUCUUAUGGGAUAUUUUAUAAAUAAAAUUCCAUUUGCAUAGCA